RNAcentral lists this ribosomal RNA (391 nucleotides) under uncultured Gammaproteobacteria bacterium. RNAcentral's name for it is "bacterial SSU rRNA". It matches the Rfam family "Bacterial small subunit ribosomal RNA", at positions 370 to 779 of the family's 1533-position model. The record is from RNAcentral. Lineage: Bacteria; Pseudomonadati; Pseudomonadota; Gammaproteobacteria.
AAUGGGCGCAAGCCUGAUCCAGCCAUGCCGCGUGAGUGACGAAGGCCCUAGGGUCGUAAAGCUCUUUCAACUGUGAAGAUAAUGACGGUAGCAGUAGAAGAAACCCCGGCUAACUCCGUGCCAGCAGCCGCGGUAAUACGGAGGGGGUUAGCGUUGUUCGGAAUUACUGGGCGUAAAGCGCACGUAGGCGGACUAUUAAGUCGAGGGUGAAAUCCCGGGGCUCAACCCCGGAACUGCCUUCGAUACUGGUAGUCUUGAGUUCGAGAGAGGUGAGUGGAAUUCCGAGUGUAGAGGUGAAAUUCGUAGAUAUUCGGAGGAACACCAGUGGCGAAGCGGCUCACUGGCUCGAUACUGACGCUGAGGUGCGAAAGUGUGGGGAGCAAACAGGAUU